UACGGGGGGAGCAAGCGUUGUUCGGAUUUACUGGGCGUAAAGGGCGCGUAGGCGGCCACCGCAAGUCAAUUUGAAAUCUCCGGGCUUAACUCGGAAAGGUCAACUGAUACUGCGGGGCUAGAGUGCGGAAGGGGCAACUGGAAUUCUCGGUGUAGCGGUGAAAUGCGUAGAUAUCGAGAGGAACACCUGCGGCGAAGGCGGGCUGCUGGGCCGACACUGACGCUGAGGCGCGAAAGCCAGGGGAGCGAACGGG
RNAcentral lists this ribosomal RNA (253 nucleotides) under uncultured bacterium. RNAcentral describes it as "partial 16S ribosomal RNA". It matches the Rfam family "Bacterial small subunit ribosomal RNA", at positions 524 to 776 of the family's 1533-position model. The record is from RNAcentral.